Molecule: long non-coding RNA, 1030 nt
Organism: Quercus robur (English oak)
Lineage: Eukaryota; Viridiplantae; Streptophyta; Magnoliopsida; Fagales; Fagaceae
Exons: 2
Source: RefSeq, a predicted model, not a curated record
GAAAAAGAAAAAUGUGAGGCUUUGCUCUUCUUUUGGUUCUUCAAGAACUGUGAACUUAUCAGAGAUUCUUCCUUAUGGCGUUCAAACUUUAUACCUUUGGUUCAUGAUUCAAUUAUAAUCAUUGGGUCAAGGCCCAUCCUGACUUAAUACAAGCAUUCCAAGCUACUACAACAGCUGGAGGGUUUGGGAGUUCGGGCACCUCUGUCAACAAAUCUCUUAAUGCUGUGAUAAUUGGUGACAAUCCUCCUCGAGGAAAGGGAGUUGAUGUUAGAUUUGCCCAUGCAGCAGCUGAAGUCAGAAAGAAAGCUACAGCUAGGGGCCUCUUGAUACGUCCACAUGGUGUUCCGGUACAAGCUAUGCCACCACUUACUCAACUCCUCAAUAUUAUCAAUUCAGGUAUGACCCCUGAUGCGGCAGAAGGUGGGGAAAUUGAUGGAGUGAAGAAGGAAGCCAAUGGCCAUCCUUCAAAUGGCCUAGUGGAUUCCAAAAAUGAUGAAUUGACAUUAGGGCAAGAAGAUUAGGCUCCUGUUGGAUUGGGCACAGGCUUAGCAUCAUCGGAUGCCAAGAAACAAAAAGCAAAAGCCAAAGCUACUGCUUGAAUUGUUGCAUAGUUGAGAUUACGCUGAUCGGUAAGGAAACCCCUUAUAUAUUUAUGAGAAUUGGAAUGAUUUCCAAUAUGGCAUCAGAGCCUUUUGUUUUGUUGUUUGAGUGAUGAACAAUCCCAUUUAUUCAUGGAUCUCAAAAGUUAUAAAGGGUAUUGAGAUAUGCCCGUUGACCGACAGGUAUUCCUUUUCGUUUUAACCAAUAAUUAGGGUCAUAUACUCUGAAGAUCAUGCUAGCCAAUAGACUAAAUAUAUUCUUCUAGGUACUGACUGAAGAAUGACCUUGUCAGUUUUCCUAUCUUUUGAUUUUUAAUUAAAUUUUGAUGAAUUUUGGGGUAUCAAGUGAAAGCAUUUCAAUGUUGAAAUAUGUAAAAUAGUGUGUUAAUUUCCGUCAAAAAUGAGAUGAGCUUAUUUCCUUUGUUUGAGAA